RNAcentral lists this long non-coding RNA (9294 nucleotides) under Ananas comosus (pineapple). Its description in RNAcentral is "long non-coding RNA (ACOM_LNC013578)". The record is from RNAcentral. Lineage: Eukaryota; Viridiplantae; Streptophyta; Magnoliopsida; Poales; Bromeliaceae.
AAACAUUGGUAUUAAAUAUAUAUAUUAAACACAUUUGUAUCAACAUCUGAUACAAAAAUAUAAAAUUUUCUGAAGCAAAAAAGAUAAUUUCGUAAUAUGCUUAUUUUUUAGGCCAGUUUGUCUAAAAGAUGCAUAUUCUCUUUUUGUAUUUUUUUAUUUCUUAUUUUUCUAACUCUAUUUAGGUUAUUUUUGUUAAUCAAUGUAUGCAAUGUCAAGAAUAAAAAAUAUUACGAUAAAAUAAAAAAGGUAAUUACUUAAUUCAUAGUUUUUUAAUUGAUUGAUUUUAUGCUGUUUUUGUAAAAUUUAUAAACAUAUAUUUAAUUUUGUAAGAAAUUUCUAACUUUAAUAAAAUUAAGCACCAAAUAGUUCUCAAAAGUACAAAAAUAUUGGAGAAAUUAAAUAUAAUUUUACUAAAUUUAGAACUUAUUAUCACGCCCCGGAUUACUCGUUUUUUCGGGCUCGCUAACAGACCUGCCGUAUAUAUAGGUAUUUUCUUUGUAUACGAAGCGAAAGUAAAAUUACCUGUAAUCAUACAAUACUACAGACAGUAGUAUAGAGCAGUUAGGAGAGAAGAAUAAAACAUGCAUAUAUAAAAUGUGGUUCUAUACAUACAUAAGAUCCAAGAUACAAAAGCACUCGCACUGGCGAGAGUACAACAUCUGUAGGUAUAAACCAACACUACACUACCUGCAGCGGUCCUCCACUAGCUCAGCAACUCGACUAGAAGGGCUCUAACUCGCGACGUCCUUGCCACGAUCAAUAUCAGCGACAGCAGCAGUCGAAGACGAUGGCUCUACAAAACAGUGGAAACAAAUUAGGCGUGAGAACUACUACAAAAAGAAGUAGUCCUCAGUGGGUACCGCCCUCAACUCAUCGGUCCGCCCACUAAGUCUACAGGGGUAAGCAAGAAAUAGUAAGGAAAGCUAGAACAUAUCUACAGCUAUCUGCCACUAUACUAUUAUACUCUAAUCUAACCAACUGUAAAACAGUGUCAACUCAGACCCAAUCUCGAAUAGGGACUGUAAUCAUACCCGUCCCUGAGACUGUGAACACACCCGUCUUGCCAAGUUGCAACUAACCAGCUACCUCCACACUAACAAGCCCGUGGAGAGCAAGUCCAACCUGCACGAACGACACCAACGUAAAAGCACUAAGCCCAACUCUGGAGUGGUACUCGUGGGCGCUACCCAACCGAGUAUGGAAGCGUAUCUCUGUCGAGCUCAAUCAGGCUCUAACCAGCCAAAGAUAAAUAACUAGGGUCAAAACAGGUCUAGAACCCACGUGCUCUCGACACAAUUUGAUAUCAAAAACAGGAAUCUCGGUCCACCGUCCACUCUGACGGCACCCGACAACCCGAAACAACCUAGACUCUGCUGUAAAAAUAAGCUUGGCAUCCCAGCACGAGCGUAAAUGCAUUCUAAACUACCUUGGGUAUCCACCGCGCUGAAACAUCAGUGAUACAAUCAAACCACGGCUCCUAGAGCUAAAUCAGGUAGUAGAAGCAUAUGACGGGUCAAAACACUGGUUUUCUCCUAAGUCAAGUUCUAAGUCCGACAUGUAUAAUUUAUCUAAUUACUAAGCAUGCUCCAAAUUCAGAUUUCUACAUUAUACUCAUCGAUGAAUUUGAGCUACAAUAAGAUAACAAUACCCGCAAAUCAUACACGUCGACUAACAUAUACUUAGGAGUAAAAACCGAUGAUACACCCACCUUAAUUGCUAAUCCUGGCAGCAAAAAAGGUUUCGAACCAAUGCUAAUCCCUACUGGAUCAACCGAAGUCCUCCAAGACCAGUAAUCAAGCUAUCUCCAAGCUUUACACAUUGAAUUCCAUCAAUUAUCAGAAUUUCAGCACUAAAGCUUAAUUUAAUCCCUAUCGUAAUGUCGAAACUCACCUAAUUACCUCCAAAUCAGGUGAGGAAGGUCUCAAAUCCAAUGAAUAAUAAUGGAAAAUGUGUCUCAGGUCCAAAAUCCCACUGCCUACAAAGAUAGCAUCAAGAAAAGCUUAAAAAUCUUAUUUUCAGCUCAAUGUCAACAGCAGUCCAGAAAAAUCUCAGUUCGACCAAGCUAACCUCAAUCAAAAUCUACAAUUUAGGGCUUUGUAGAUUCCUCUGGAAGUCUAGAAUCCAGCAAACCAAGUUUCACCGCGAUCCGACCUUCCUACGUCGCGUACGAGCUAAAACACUGGAGGCCGUGGCUUAAAAACUGCAGAAUUAGCACCUAUCAAGCUUGGAGUUGUGGAUCUUGAAGCAAUUUGAGUAGAUUUGAGUGUUGGAAAUGCAAUUUAAGGGUUCACUGUGAAGAAUGGACGAAAAGGAUUCACCGAGGUCAAGCUCCCCCUAUUUAUAGGGUGCUGGAAAGAUAAAAUAAGCCCUAGGUUCAAAAACUGCUAACCUGGUGUCCCUGUAGAAACGGGCAUUUCUGGGCGCCCGAAACCCAAUUCUGGGCGCUCGAAAUCUCCAGGCUGCACAAAUCUUCCUCCUCGGACUCUCCGCUCGCGAUGUGCUGUGCCCGUAAACGGCUCCAGCGGACCUCACCUACCACCCGCCACGUGUCAACACAAACGAUAUUCACAAUGUAAAAUUUCCGGACUCACUUCUGGGCGCCCGGAACAUAGGAUCCGAAUUGGCUUUCAGUUUCAGUUAAAUUUAGCACUCAGUUCUGGGCGACCUAAAUCGUGUUCUAGGCGCUCGAAUCUGGCAAACCUCCAGUUUUGCUUAAUUGAGUGCGCAGAGUCCAUUUCUGCACCCAAUUCGUACAGAAACGACUCCGACUCAGUUCAACACUCUCCAGAUGUGUCGACCAGUCACUAAUACUGAAGCCAAUCCUAUCCAAAGCUCAAAAAUACUACAUCCUCCCCCACUAUAAAAAGUUUCAUCCGCGAAACUGAAACAUAUCUCAAUCCUGAGCCUCAAAAAGGUAGAGGUAGGACUCUCUCAUCACCAUCUCGGGCUCCCAGGUCGCCUCCCGCUCCUCGUGAUUACUCCACUGCACCUUUACAAAGGUAUGACCAGGUUGCGCAAUUCCCUCGACUCACGAGCCAGAAUCCGCACUGGUCGCUCCACGUAUCUCAAUUCCUCGCCAAUCUCUAGCGGAGUGAAGUCUAUCACGUGGGAGGGGUCGAACACAUAUCUCCUCAAGGCCGAGACGUGGAAAACAUCGUGAAUGCCGGCUAAUCGUGGAGGUAGAGCAAUCUUGUAAGCAACUAGCACGACUCGCUCCAAUACCUCAAAAGGGCCUACAAAACGUGGACUAAGCUUUCCACGUACUCUAAAUCUGCGAAUCCCUCUGGACGGCGAGACUUUAAGAAACACAUGAUCUCCCACCUAGAACUCCAAGUCUCGUCUCCGGGUAUCAGCAUAGCUCCUCUGCCAACUCUGGGCUGCUAAAAUGUGCCGUCGCACCACUUUCACCUUUUCCUCAACCUCAAUCAGAAUCUCAAGCCCAAGCGUUUUUCUCUCACCCACAUCGCUCCAAAACAAAGGGGAUCGACACCUGCGUCCAUACAACGCCUCAAACGGAGCCAUCUGGAUGCUCGCUUGAUAGCUGUUGUUGUACGCAAACUCAGCCAGUCUCAAAUGUCGAUACCACCCUCCUCCAAAGUCCAGAACACAUGCCCUCAGCAUGUCCUCAAGAGUCUGAAUGGUCCGCUCUGACUGACCAUCUGUUUGUGGGUGAAACGCUGUGCUGAACUGCAACUGAGUGCCCAAGGCCGUCUGAAGACUCCUCCAAAAGUGCGAGACGAACCUCGGGUCUUGAUCUGAUACUAUCGAAGUGGGCACACCAUGCAACCUUACUAUCUCAUCCAGAUAUAGCUGAGCGAGCCUCUCCCUGAACCAUGUGGUCUGAAAUGGUAGGAAGUGAGCAGACUUAGUUAGUCUGUCCACUAUAACCCAAAUAGCAUCGAAACCACCCUGAGCUCUAGGCAACCCUACGACAAAGUCCAUCGUGAUCUACUCCCAUUUCUAAUCGGGCACUGGCAGACUCUGAAGCUUGCCAGCAGGUACCUGAUGCUCGGCCUUUACCUGUUGACAAGUCAGACACCGAGCCACAAAUCUGUCAAUGUCCCUCUUCAUUCCAUUCCACCAAAACUGGGCUUUUAAGUCCUUAUACAUCUUGGUUCCACCGGGGUGAACCGUAUAAGGUGAACAGUGAGCCUCUCUCAAAAUGUCCUCUCGGAUCUCUGAAUCUAUAGGUACACACAGUCGGUCCCUGUACUGCAGUACUCCCGAAUUGUCCACAACAAAGCCCUCAGCCUGUCCCAUCUUAGAUCGCUCUCGAAUCCUCGACAAGUGUGGAUCUCCACUCUAUUUAUCUCGGAUCCUAUCCAACAGAGUGGGCUGCAAGACUACAGACAUCAGUCUCGCAGUAGAUCCAGGGGACACUAUCUCGAGCCUCACCCGCUGUAGCUCCUCGAGUAACGGCCUCUGCUGAGUGAUCGACAUGCUCAAGCUUUGCACUGCCCUCCUGCUCAAUGAUCUACCACCACAUUCGCCUUGCCGGGAUGAUACUGAAUACUAAUGUCAUAGUCCUUCAGUAACUCCAAUCAUCGGCGCUGCCUCAGGUUCAACUCCCUCUGGGUGAACAGAUACUUGAGACUUUUACGAUCGGUGAAAACCUCGCAGUGCUCGCCAUACAAGUAAUGCCGCCACAACAUUAAAGCAAAAACUACCGCGACAAGCUCUAAGUCAUGCGUAAGGUAAUUCUUCUCGUAAUCCUUUAACUGCCGUGAAGCAUAAGCAAUUACCUUACCAUGCCGCAUCAGCACACAGCCGAGCCCGCUGUGCGAUGCAUCACUGUAGAUCACAAAUCCUUCUCCCAUCACAAAAAGGGCAAGGAUAGGAGCUGACGUCAACCUCUAUCUCAACUCAUCAAAGCUCCUCUGACAGUCCUCACUCAAAAUGAACUUAAUUUCUUUACGAGUCAGUCGAGUGAGUGGUGUGGAAAGCUUCGCAAAGCCUUCCACAAAUCGACGGUAAUAACCUGCAAGUCCAAGGAAACUCCUCACCUCUGUCACCGUCGUCGGUCUUGGCCAAUCCCGAAUAGCAUCAAUCUUCUUUGGGUCCACUGCUACUCCAACCGCAGAUAUCACGUGGCCCAAGAAAGCAACCUCCCGCACUUCUUUAACUUGGCAUACAACUUCUUCUCUCGCAGAAGCUGUAGCAUAGUCCUCAAGUGCUCCUCAUGCUCGGCAUCGCUCCGGAAGUAUAUCAGAAUAUCAUCAAUGAAGACUACCACAAACCUAUCCAAGAACGGCUUGAACACUCUGUUCAUCAAAUUCAUGAAUGCGGCAGGGGCAUUCGUCAAUCUAAACGGCAUCACCGUAAACUCAUAAUGCCCAUACCGAGUUCGAAAAGCCGUCUUGGGAACAUCCUCGGCCCUCACCCUUAACUAGUGGUAACCUGACUGGAGGUCAAUCUUCGAGAAGACAUAAGAUCCUUGCAGCUGAUCAAACAGAUCAUCAAUGCGCGGCAAAGGAUACUUAUUCUUGAUGGUCACACUAUUUAGCUCCCGGUAAUCUACACACAACCUGAGUGAACCAUCUUUCUUCUUUACAAACAACACCGGUGCUCCCCAAGGCGACACACUGGGUCUCACAAACCCCUUAUCCAUCAAAUCCUAAAGCUGCGCCUUUAGCUCUCUCAGCUCCGCCGGUGCCAUCCUGUAAGGUGCCUUUGAGAUUGGUGCAGUUCCAGGAACUAUAUUAAUCACAAACUCUAUCUCCCUCUCCGGCGGCAUCGUCGUAAACUCAGGGAAAAACACAUCCGGAAACUCGCGGACUAUAGGGAUAUCCUCGAGUCCCGGCGCCCCCGUAGGCACCUCUGUCACAGUCGCUAGAAAAGCAACGCAUCCUCUACUCAUCAACUGUCGAGCCUUCGCCGAAGAUAUCCAAGUGGCAAACAAAGUACUCCUGCAGCCUCUGAAAGUGAACUCCUCCUGGCCUGGCUCUCGGAACGUCACAGUCCUCAUUUCACAGUCGAUAGUAGUAUAUUACCGCACAAGCCAAUCCAUACCGAGCACCACGUCAAAGUCCUGCAGCUGCCCUAACACCAACAGGUCUGCCGGCAUGAUCCAAGAAUCUAACUGCACUGGACAUGACCAACAACACUCUGCAACCCGUAAAACAUGGUCGGGGAUCUGCACCUCUCGUGCCUCUGACAAAGACCCUAACUCUAGACCAUACAACAAUACAAAUGCUCGGCUAACAAAAGAAUGUGAGGCACCGGUAUCAAAAAGAGUACGAGUACGAAUGCCGGAAAUAAAAAUGAUACCUGCCGCCACUCGGUCGGCUGCUGAAGAGUCCUCCACCUGAGAUGCGUAAACUCUGCCACUUGGAGCCUGCUGUCGCCUCUUAGUUUGACGCGGCACAAACAAUCUAUCCUCCUGGCGAAAACUCGGUGCUGCUCCAAAAGACUGCUGAGAUGCUGUCUGUGCUGAUGCAGUGGAUGGUGUUGGCGGUGCUGCACGAUGACAAGCUGACCUCAUAUGCCCGGGCUGACCGCAAGUGUAGCAACGGCCCUCUCUCUGCUCGCACUGUUGGGGCCAGUGUGGUCCCCCGCAGAUCACACACUGCGGUGUCCUCGGCGUCUGUCCCUGUUGACGGGAUCCCCUGGAACGCUGACGCCCCGAAGACCCACGACCCUGAGAGCGUGAUCGUGGCGGUCUCGGCGGACGCCUGCUGCUCGACUGUACAGCAUCAUCUGAAAAGGGGCGCUUCCUGUCUGGACUCUGCCCCACGGCCUGAGUCCUCUCCCGAAUGGAGGCAUCACCCCUCUCUACCCAAAGAGCCUGCUCCAUCGACGCGUCCAAGGUCCUCAAUCUCUGUGCCUGCAGCAAUCGAAAAAUCUCGGGUCUGAAUCCCUGCUCGAAUAGAUAGACUCUAUGCGCCUCAUCCCUGGCCACGAACGGUACACAGUUCAGGAGUCGAGUGAACUCCCGAAUGUACUCCUGGACUGUCCACUCGCCCUGCUGAAUCCUCUUCAGAUCCUCCUCGAGCUUCUGUUUCACGCUGUUGGGAAAAUACAUCCCGAACAGCUUUCUACAGAAGUUGUCCCACUUCAGCUGCAACGCCACUAAUCCGUAGUCUCGCCUCACUCUCCUCCACUAGGCGUGAGCAUUGGCAGCUAAGCAGUGUACUCCCAAAGACACCUGCUCCCCUCUCAGGCACGAAUAGAUCCUCGAACAGCUUCUCCAUCGCACUGACCCGACCCUCAACAACCUAGGCCUCAGUGCAACCACCGUCGAAGGUCGGUGGAUCAAAACGGCGAAAAUGAGCCAACCUCUCAGUCAUUCGCUCCUGCUCGGCCUCAGUCAACUGUACUGGUCCCCUAGCCGGCACAACUGGCGCUGCAGGAAACUCUACUGGCGGGGGUAUAGCUGCGAUUGGUGCGGUCACUGGAGUAGUCGGAGGUGGAACGGCCUGCUCAGGUGCUCUCGGUACUGUACUCGGUGACGGAGCUAACCUCUCGCACAUUCUCUGUAGCAACUCCCCCUGCUGCCUCGUCACCUCAGUCGGGGCGGCUAUAUGCGCACUCAAAUCAGGAGGUACACCCACCUCUGGUCGGGCCCUCUGCUCUACAGCAGGGGGUGCACUCGCCUCAAGUGGUGCACUCGGCUCUGCCUGCUCGGGCAUCUCAGGCGGUGCGACACGAUCCCUGAGCGACGGUCGACCUCAGCGACGAUACAUAUUUGUAGCUAUAACAAACAAGACAGGGGGUCAGAUAAAACAGAAACACUCUCGACCUAAUCAAACGAAAGUUUAGAAGGCGGCCCCUAUUUCUCCUCAAAAUUAUGUCGUCUGUAGCCAAUAUAAUUUCUCAGGCCAAAACAGGAACUUCCCCAAUCACUCAUCCACUCUAGGAGGAGUUAGAACAACGAAUCAUUGACUUUCGCGAUAAAUCACGCCUCUCGCGUCUUACCUUCCUAAGGUUUGCCAAACUUAGGGUUCCUAGGACCCAACGACCUACAGCUAAGCUCUGAUACCAACUUAAUCUGUCACGCUCCGGAUUACUCGUUUUCCCGGGCUCACUAACAGACCCACCGUAUACAUAGGUAUUUUCUCUGUAUAUGAAGCGAAAGUAAAAGUACCUGUAAUCAUACAAUACUACAGACAAUAGUAUAGAGCAGCUAAGAGAGAAGAAUAAAACAUGCAAAUAUAAACUGUGGUUCUAUACAUACAUAAGAUUCAAGAUACAAAAGCACUCGCACUGGCGAGAGUACAAUAUCUGUAUGUAUAAACCAACACUACACUACCUGCAGUGGUCCUCCACUAGCUCAGCAACUCGACUGGAAGGGCUCUAACUCGCGACGCCCUUACCACGAUCAAUAUCAGCGACAGCAGCAGUCGAAGACGAUGGCUCUGCAAAACAGUGGAAACAAACUGGGCGUGAGAACUACUACAAAAAGAAGUAGUCCUCAGUGGGUACCGCCCUCAACUCAUCGGUCCACCCACUAAGUUUACAGGGGCAAGCAAGAAAUAGUAAGGAAAGCUGGAACAUAUCUAAAGCUAUCUGCCUCUAUACUAUCAUGUUCUAAUCUAACGAACUGUAGAACAGUAUCAACUAAGACCCAAUCUCGAAUAGGGACUGUAAUCAUACCCGUCCCUGGGACUGUGAACACACCCGUUCCGCAAGGUUGCAACUAACCAGCUACCUCCACACUAACAAGCCCGUAGAGAGCAAGUCCAACCUGCACGAACGACACCCACGCAAAAGCACUAAGCCCAACUCCGGAGUGGCACUCGUGGGCGCUACCUAACCGAGUAUACAAGCGUAUCUCUGUCGAGCUCAGUCAGGCUCUGACCAACCAAAGAUAAAUAGCUAGGAUCAAAACAGGUCUAGAAAUCGAACCCACGUGCUCUCGGCACAAUUUGAUACCAAAAACAGGAAUCUAGGUCCACCGUCCACCCCGACAGCACCCGACAAUCCGAAACAGCCUAGACUCUACUAUAAAAAUAAGCUCGGCGUCCCAGCACGAGCGUAAAUGCAUUCUAAACUACAUCGGGUAUCCACCGCGUUGAAACAGCGGUGAUACAAUCAAACCACGGCUCCUAGAGCUAAAUCAGGUAGUAGAAGCAUAUGACGGGUCAAAACGCUGGUUUUCUCCUAAGUCAAGUUUCAAGUCCGACAUGUAUAAUUUAUCUAAUUACUAAGCAUGCUCCAAAUUCAGAUUUAUACAUCAUACUCAUCGAUGAAUUUGAGCUACAACAAGAUAACAAUAGCAGCAAAUCAUACAAGUCGACUAACAUGUACUUAGGAGUAAAAACCGAUGAUACACCCACCUUAAUUGCUAAUCCUGGC